UGGUGGGUAGUUUGACUGGGGCGGUCUCCUCCCAAAGAGUAACGGAGGAGCACGAAGGUGGGCUAAUCACGGUCGGACAUCGUGAGGUUAGUGCAAUGGCAUAAGCCCGCUUAACUGCGAGAAUGAUGGUUCGAGCAGGUGCGAAAGCAGGUCAUAGUGAUCCGGUGGUUCUGUAUGGAAGGGCCAUCGCUCAACGGAUAAAAGGUACUCCGGGGAUAACAGGCUGAUACCGCCCAAGAGUUCAUAUCGACGGCGGUGUUUGGCACCUCGAUGUCGGCUCAUCACAUCCUGGGGCUGAAGUCGGUCCCAAGGGUAUGGCUGUUCGCCAUUUAAAGUGGUACGCGAGCUGGGUUUAGAACGUCGUGAGACAGUUCGGUCCCUAUCUGCCGUGGGCGUUGGAUGAUUGAGAGGGGCUGCUCCUAGUACGAGAGGACCGGAGUGGACGAACCUCUGGUGUUCGGGUUGUGUCGCCAGACGCAUUGCCCGGUAGCUAAGUUCGGAAUCGAUAACCGCUGAAAGCAUCUAAGCGGGAAGCGAGCCUCAAGAUGAGUCAUCCCUGAUAC
This 563-nucleotide ribosomal RNA is filed under the name Photobacterium damselae. Its description in RNAcentral is "partial 23S ribosomal RNA". It matches the Rfam family "Bacterial large subunit ribosomal RNA", at positions 2259 to 2821 of the family's 2925-position model. The record is from RNAcentral. Lineage: Bacteria; Pseudomonadati; Pseudomonadota; Gammaproteobacteria; Vibrionales; Vibrionaceae.